AUGCGAGUCGUUGUAGCAAUACAAGGCAUACGGCUCAGUAACGCGUAGUCAACCUAACCUAUGGACGGGAAUAACCUCGGGAAACUGAGAAUAAUGCCCGAUAGAACAUUAUGCCUGGAAUGGUUUAUGUUCCAAAUGAUUUAUCGCCAUAGGAUGGGACUGCGGCCUAUCAGUUUGUUGGUGAGGUAAUGGCCCACCAAGACUAUUACAGGUACGGGCUCUGAGAGGAGUAGCCCGGAGAUGGGUACUGAGACACGGACCCAGGCCCUAUGGGGCGCAGCAGGCGAGAAAACUUUGCAAUGUGCGAAAGCACGACAAGGUUAAUCCGAGUGAUUUCUGCUAAAGAGAUCUUUUGUUAGUCCUAGAAACACUAACGAAUAAGGGGUGGGCAAGUUCUGGUGUCAGCCGCCGCGGUAAAACCAGCACCUCAAGUGGUCAGGAUGAUUAUUGGGCCUAAAGCAUCCGUAGCCGGCUCUGUAAGUUUUCGGUUAAAUCUGUACGCUCAACGUACAGGCUGCCGGGAAUACUGCAGAACUAGGGAGUGGGAGAGGUAGACGGUACUCGGUAGGAAGUGGUAAAAUGCUUUGAUCUAUCGAUGACCACCUGUGGCGAAGGCGGUCUACCAGAACACGUCCGACGGUGAGGGAUGAAAGCUGGGGGAGCAAACCGGAUUAGAUACCCGGGUAGUCCCAGCUGUAAACUAUGCAAACUCAGUGAUGCAUUGGCUUGUGGCCAAUGCAGUGCUGCAGGGAAGCCGUUAAGUUUGCCGCCUGGGAAGUACGUACGCAAGUAUGAAACUUAAAGGAAUUGGCGGGGGAGCACCACAAGGGGUGAAGCCUGCGGUUCAAUUGGAUUCAACGCCGGG
RNAcentral lists this ribosomal RNA (865 nucleotides) under uncultured archaeon. RNAcentral's name for it is "bacterial SSU rRNA". It matches the Rfam family "Archaeal small subunit ribosomal RNA", at positions 51 to 922 of the family's 1478-position model. The record is from RNAcentral.